RNAcentral lists this ribosomal RNA (990 nucleotides) under human gut metagenome. RNAcentral describes it as "bacterial LSU rRNA". It matches the Rfam family "Bacterial large subunit ribosomal RNA", at positions 1938 to 2925 of the family's 2925-position model. The record is from RNAcentral.
AACUAUAACGGUCCUAAGGUAGCGAAAUUCCUUGUCGGGUAAGUUCCGACCCGCACGAAUGGUGUAACGAUCUGGGCACUGUCUCAACUACCCACCCGGCGAAAUUGUAGUACCGGUGAAGAUGCCGGUUACCUGCGGCAAGACGGAAAGACCCCAUGGAGCUUUACUGUAGCCUGAUAUUGGGUUUCGGAAAUCUAUGUACAGGAUAGGCGGGAGACUGGGAAACAUGAGCGUCAGCUUGUGUGGAGUCGAUGUUGGGAUACCGCCCUUAGGUUUCUGGAAUUCUAACCUGCGGCCGUGAAUCCGGUCGGGGGACAUUGUCAGGUGGGCAGUUUGACUGGGGCGGUCGCCUCCGAAAAGGUAACGGAGGCGCUCAAAGGUUAGCUCAGCACGGACGGAAACCGUGCCUCUGAGUGUAAACGCAAAAGCUAGCCUAACUGCGAGGGUGACGGCCCGAGCAGUAACGAAAGUUGGAGUUAGUGAUCCGGCGGUAUGUGAAUGGAAAUGCCGUCGCUCAACGGAUAAAAGCUACCCUGGGGAUAACAGGCUGAUCUCCCCCAAGAGUCCACAUCGACGGGGAGGUUUGGCACCUCGAUGUCGGCUCAUCACAUCCUGGGGCUGUAUUCGGUCCCAAGGGUUCGGCUGUUCGCCGAUUAAAGUGGUACGCGAGCUGGGUUCAGAACGUCGCGAGACAGUUCGGUCCCUAUCUGUCGUGGGCGCAGGAUAUUUGAGGAGCUCUGUCCUUAGUACGAGAGGACCGGGAUGGACGUACCUCUGGUGCACCAGUUGUCAUGCCAAUGGCACGGCUGGGCAGCUAUGUACGGAACGGAUAAACGCUGAAAGCAUCUAAGCGUGAAGCCGACUCCAAGAUUAGAUAUCCCAUCGUAUAACGAGUAAGACCCCUUGAAGACUACGAGGUUGAUAGGCUGCGUGUGUAAGUGCCGUGAGGCAUUCAGCUUGGCAGUACUAAUAGGUCGAGGGCUUGACCAC